RNAcentral lists this ribosomal RNA (636 nucleotides) under Triticum aestivum (bread wheat). RNAcentral's name for it is "partial small subunit ribosomal RNA". The record is from RNAcentral. Lineage: Eukaryota; Viridiplantae; Streptophyta; Magnoliopsida; Poales; Poaceae.
AUGAGAGGGAUAAACGAUGUAUACCCUCCAAUCGGCCACGCGGUAGUGGUGGCGGUGGCAGCAGCCGCGGCAUCCUCGGCGGCCUUCUUGUCGGCCUCGGCCUUCUCAGCGGCGGCACGGUCGGCGUCGGUCGACAUGGUGAUGACGAAGGGUUUCACAGCUGGCCGAGCAUCUAUUGGCAUCAAAAGGAUGGGCAUGCUUGACCAGGAAUCACUUGAAAAGGCUUUCCAACAGAAACUGAUGUCAGAGCAUGAUGCUGCCUUAUUUUGUGCAAAAUGGGAGGCUGAGAUGGGAAAUCCAGAUUGGCACCCUCUUAGAGUUACCAUAGUUGAUGGAAAAGAAAUGGCUUUCGGCUUUGCAAAUGUUUCCCUGGAAAUUCUCAACGAGGACGACGAGAAGCUUAGGGCUCUGAAAGAAGAAAAUGGCGAACAGAUCUAUGGUGUGGUGACAAAGGCCCUGCUCGAACUCAACGAGCACAAUCCCAGGGGCCGCCAUCCUGUUAACGAGCUGUGGAACUACAAGGAGGACCGGAAAGCCACCCUGGAAGAAGCUGUUGAGCACCUCCUGAAGCAGUGGCUGGUGGACAGGAGCAUCCUCAAGAGGAAGCGCACUGAAGAAGAUGCUGGAAGCACUUAA